AAGACCUUGCGCUUUUGGAGCGGCCGAUGCCUGAUUAGCUUGUUGGUAAGGUAAAAGCUUACCAAGGCUUCGAUCAGUAGCUGGUCUGAGAGGACGACCAGCCACACUGGGACUGAGACACGGCCCAGACUCCUAUGGGAGGCAGCAGUGGGGAAUUUUGGACAAUGGGGGCAACCCUGAUCCAGCCAUGCCGCGUGAGUGAAGAAGGCCUUCGGGUUGUAAAGCUCUUUCAGCCGGAACGAAACGGUUACGGUUAAUACCCGUGACUACUGACGGUACCGGAAGAAGAAGCACCGGCUAACUACGUGCCAGCAGCCGCGGUAAUACGUAGGGUGCGAGCGUUAAUCGGAAUUACUGGGCGUAAAGCGUGCGCAGGUGGUUUUGUAAGUCAGAUGUGAAAGCCCCGGGCUCAACCUGGGAACU
This 423-nucleotide ribosomal RNA is filed under the name uncultured bacterium. Its description in RNAcentral is "bacterial SSU rRNA". It matches the Rfam family "Bacterial small subunit ribosomal RNA", at positions 207 to 622 of the family's 1533-position model. The record is from RNAcentral.